Molecule: ribosomal RNA, 253 nt
Filed under: uncultured bacterium
Lineage: Bacteria
Description: partial 16S ribosomal RNA
Rfam family: Bacterial small subunit ribosomal RNA
Source: RNAcentral
UACGGGGGGGGCAAGCGUUGUUCGGAAUUACUGGGCGUAAAGGGCUCGUAGGCGGCCAACUAAGUCAAACGUGAAAUCCCUCGGCUUAACCGGGGAACUGCGUCUGAUACUGGAUGGCUUGAGUUUGGGAGAGGGAUGCGGAAUUCCAGGUGUAGCGGUGAAAUGCGUAGAUAUCUGGAGGAACACCGGUGGCGAAGGCGGCAUCCUGGACCAACACUGGCGCUGAGGAGCGAAAGCCAGGGGAGCAAACGGG